This 44-nucleotide non-coding RNA is filed under the name Trichobilharzia regenti. The record is from RNAcentral. Lineage: Eukaryota; Metazoa; Platyhelminthes; Trematoda; Strigeidida; Schistosomatidae.
ACCAGAUGACGAGUCCCAAAUAGGACGAAAUGCGCAUCUUCGAU